CUGGAGCGGGGAUGGAGGCUCGCCUCGCUUCCGAGAGGCUGGGGCCGCGCCUGGCUGCACUGAUGCCUUAUCGCCCGUGUCCUCACGCAAGGCUUCACUUUGGUGUCAGGAUCUCGGGGGCUCAGAAAUGCGGGUUCAUUGUGGGUGGAGGGUAAGCCCUUCCUCAGCAGGUCAUGACCAGAGGUGGUCGGACGGCAAGGACUGCUCUCCAGGCACGUCCAGCAGGGACAGUGCGGCCGGGCCCUCCCCUAUCCCUGUCCCUCUGGCGACCCCGCUUGUGCCUGCUGCUUCCUGCUGUUAUCCCUCCCGGUACCACAUUCUAAUCACUUGCGAUUAGAUCGGCACUCAGGCCUCUGGACACCCGAGCAUGACUUCUGGGACAAGCUGUGUCUUCUCCCCCAACCUUUAAAAAUGUGAACCAUGAUUCAGGUGGUGAAUAAAAGCUGGCACGGAAUUAAGCGGUGGAUGGAUGCGACAUCUUUAUCGCUGUGUCCUGAUUGUGGUGCAGGACGGUCCUCGCGGUGCCGUGGCUGUUUCUGUGGCGGU
RNAcentral lists this long non-coding RNA (546 nucleotides) under Homo sapiens (human). RNAcentral's name for it is "HSALNT0207224". Lineage: Eukaryota; Metazoa; Chordata; Mammalia; Primates; Hominidae. The record is from RNAcentral.